GACGAACGCUGGCGGCGUGCCUAAUGCAUGCAAGUCGAACGCAUUUUCUUUCACCGUAGCUUGCUACACCGAAAGAAAAUGAGUGGCGAACGGGUGAGUAACACGUGGGUAACCUGCCCAUCAGCGGGGGAUAACACUUGGAAACAGGUGCUAAUACCGCAUAAUUCCAUUUACCGCAUGGUAGAUGGGUGAAAGGCGCUUUUGCGUCACUGAUGGAUGGACCCGCGGUGCAUUAGCUAGUUGGUGGGGUAACGGCCUACCAAGGCUGCGAUGCAUAGCCGACCUGAGAGGGUGAUCGGCCUCACUGGGACUGAGACACGGCCCAGACUCCUACGGGAGGCAGCAGUAGGGAAUCUUCGGCAAUGGACGCAAGUCUGACCGAGCAACGCCGCGUGAGUGAAGAAGGUUUUCGGAUCGUAAAACUCUGUUGUUAGAAAAGAACAAGGAUGAGAGUGGAAAGUUCAUCCCUUGACGGUAUCUAACCAGAAAGCCACGGCUAAC
RNAcentral lists this ribosomal RNA (501 nucleotides) under uncultured bacterium. RNAcentral describes it as "bacterial SSU rRNA". It matches the Rfam family "Bacterial small subunit ribosomal RNA", at positions 28 to 501 of the family's 1533-position model. The record is from RNAcentral.